UUGGUCUGGCUUAUUAGUUAAAUUUCCAAAAGCCAAGUGUGGGUCUCAAAAUAUGUCAAGUACAA
This 65-nucleotide transfer RNA is filed under the name Prymnesium neolepis. Lineage: Eukaryota; Haptophyta; Prymnesiales; Prymnesiaceae. The record is from RNAcentral.